CCUCUCGGCGAUGGAGAACUGGUGUUCUACAUCCUCACCGGUCUCGAUUUGGAAUAUAAUCUAGUCAUUUCUGCAGUGAUAGCCCGUGUGGAACCCAUCAUCAUCAUAGAGCUAUACGCACAGCUGUUGCUUUUGAGC
This 138-nucleotide small nucleolar RNA is filed under the name Dichanthelium oligosanthes. Its description in RNAcentral is "Small nucleolar RNA Z247". It matches the Rfam family "Small nucleolar RNA Z247". From Rfam's summary of the family: Z247 is a member of the C/D class of snoRNA which contain the C (UGAUGA) and D (CUGA) box motifs. Most of the members of the box C/D family function in directing site-specific 2'-O-methylation of substrate RNAs. Lineage: Eukaryota; Viridiplantae; Streptophyta; Magnoliopsida; Poales; Poaceae. The record is from Rfam by way of RNAcentral.